Molecule: ribosomal RNA, 253 nt
Filed under: uncultured bacterium
Lineage: Bacteria
Description: partial 16S ribosomal RNA
Rfam family: Bacterial small subunit ribosomal RNA
Source: RNAcentral
UACGAAGGGUGCAAGCGUUGUUCGGAAUUACUGGGCGUAAAGCGCGCGUAGGCGGGUCUGUAAGUCGAUUGUGAAAUACCUGGGCUUAACCCGGGAAUGGCAGUCGAAACUGCAGAUCUUGAAUGUCUGAGAGGAUGGCGGAAUUCCCGGUGUAGUAGUGAAAUACGUAGAUAUCGGGAAGAACACCUGAGGCGAAGGCGGCUAUCUGGCGGUACAUUGACGCUGAUGCGCGAAAGCGUGGGGAGCAAACAGG